CUUCUACCAAAUUCUAUUGGUCACCCAGGACCAGCCCUGAUUUGAUAUGGAGGGAACCAGCAAGGUUGUGAAUACCAGGUGGCGGGGAUCACUGUGGGCUGUCAUGGAGAAUGACUACCACAUGUAGAAAUGAGGACUCAAACGGAGGUCUGUCUGAGGCAAAGCCCUUGGACCUCACCAAGCUGCCUUCCCCAAGCAACCUGUUUAAUUUGGCGGUCCUUCUGAAAGGGAUAUCACCUUCAGCCUGCAACAGCAUGGCGUAGAUAAACUGCUUACAUUAAGAAUGUCCUGAGAGAGGCAGAGAAGCCUGGGUCCUGGGGCACGGAAUAAGGCUUACUUCUGAAUGAUGGCCCAGGCUGCGCUGGCUUUUGCGAAUGUCUCCUCCUCUGGUUGUGCCUGGGGCAGCUCAGGAAGAGUAUGGGGACCAUCCAGGACGUUAGCAGCUCCUACUGUGGCAAGCACCGGUCUCCAUGACUGCAGUUCUCUCCCAGAGGCAGAAAGCAGGGAACUAAGCUUCCAUGUGGACUAAAUUUCAUGGCCACCGCCCAGAAGGGUUGGAAGAGCUGAUGACGUCCCAGGACAGGCUGGAACUUGAGCCCAGCAUUUUACAGAGGGAAACCAGGCCCAGAGAAGGAAUGAUUUUCUUAAUGUCACACUUCCAGAAGUCAGGAAAGCAGAGACCAGCUCAGGACUCAUGAUACCUUUGCCCUAACCUCAAGGCCUUAUCCAGUCUUACCCUUCAUCCCACAAACAACUGGCCAUCAACUGGGCGAUUUUCUUGCCUCUGCUCCCCCAUGGGAAAUGCCAGCCGACUGUAAACGCCCAUGCCCUGAGAGCCUGGCAAGCUGCAUGGCACUUACGUCUGCUGUCUCUGGGAAACAGCACUGACUCCAGAGUUUGCGAGGCGAUCAAGUCGAAGAGCUGAAGAACGGCCUCAAGAUCUUUUUGCCCAGAGCGCCCUCUGGUGGCCAACUGGAUGGCAACCAUUCUCCUUCACUGUGUGAGAUGCUAAGUGGUUGGAGCCAGAGUCUUGUUUUCACUGUUCCUCUUGGGACUUGCUCCUCCCCAGUUAAUGCGCUCUGGUGUCCACUCUGUACAACACAUAUUUACUUCUUACUGCAUCCCUGGAAUAACUGACUCCCGGCCAAUAUUGUUUCUCUGUAUGAGUCACACUGAGACUGGAGCUGAGGGAACUCAAGACAACAAGGCACGGUUCACGCCCCUGAGGAAUGUAAGUUUCAUCGGGCUUGAGACAGGCACGCAAGCAGCUGAGCAGAAUCAGAGCCAGAGGGGCCAAGACUGGACGAAAGCGAGCAAAGGGCUAGGGGACACAGCCAAAACAGGAGCGAGUGGCAGCCACAGAGAUGCAGGAGGCCUUUCUGGGGAAACUGGUGUCUGAGUUCUCAAGGAGAAGCGGGAUUUCUGAAUGGGGGAGGGGCGAGGGCAGGGAGGGACGGGGCGUGGCCAAUCUCUCCCUGUUUCACCUUCUCCUGUGGCCUUUCUCUGUUUCCCUCCCUCCUUACUCACCACGGUCCCAAUACCUCUCCGAAUCACCGCUACCCAAAGUGCCCACUUUCCAGGAGAGAGCCGGACCAGUCCCUGGGCGUCUUCCAACAGACCUCCCCUCUCUCCCCGUGCCACGUCUCCUACGGUUCCUCGGGCGCCCACCCCUCGUGCCCUCCACCCUGCAUUGACCAGCUGGAUUCCUGAAACCUGCAUUGGCCUGUGUACAGUUUGGGCACUGUCUGAAUCAAUAACGGGAAAACGGUUCCUGAACAGGAGCAGCGGGGAAUUAGAAAAAUCUAACGAAGCCUGAUUGUAAAGUCCUGGAAGGGAGACAAAAAGGGGCCUUUCCUAUGGGUCGAAUGGGACCUACAGAGAGGGUGACUCCCGGAGAAUUCAGAGGAGGGAACAAAGAGUUCACUCUGGGGCCAUGGUGGCAGGUAGCGGUUAGAAGCUGGAGAAAGGAGGGAAUGGAACUCCAAUGGCAAUGACAAUAACUUCCUGACAAGAAUGACAGGAGGAAGCUGGGAGCAAAGACAGGAGUGCUUGGGGCAUGUUUGAAGGAGGGCUCUUGGCUUAUCUUACCUGGAUUGGAGGGUUGAGGUAUAUUUGUCUUUUACGAGGCCUAAAGAUGGUUUUUCUUAGGGCAGAGGGGAGCCAUUGAGGGUUAGGGACCAGGAGAGUGGCGUGAUGAAAGGUAUCUUGGCAUAGAUCCAUAAACAAAUGUUUCCUUCCCACACUGGUUUCUGUGACAAGGCCUCAGACUGCGGUUCCUGCAGGAGCCCCAUGUGCCUGCCUGGGUACCACCCCUGCAGGUAGGAGCUGCUCUCCUGCCCUCAGUGUCCCCCUGCAGUUUUCAGCCUUUCUGCUACUCGAGCGAGUGAGGAAGCUGGCCACGGACCUCACCCAGAGAGAGUGAACUUGAGGCCAGCUGGACACUUGAGGGAAGGAGACCAGCCAUGGAACAGGGGUGUGGGUCCCAGGCCUCUUGGGCUUUACCUGAAUCUGCCACCUGCCAGCUGAGGGGUCUUUAAGCAAACCCUGUGUCCUCUCGGUCUUGGGGACCUGCUGGCAGCCAUGCCACCCUCUCCCUGUCACCCAAGCAGCUUGGCCUUUCACUUGGGUUCCAGAUGCAAAUGCAGAGUUUGCUGGAGACUUGGUGUUCUCUGAGAAGCUAAAGUGGGCCACAGUGCUCAGAUGUCCAAGUCAGUCUAUUCCUAUAAUUAAAAAACAAUGAUAACAAUAAUCAUAGCAUCUACUGAGCAAGUACUACAUACAAGGCACUCUGCUAAGCCCUCUAAAUACACAAGCUAUUUUCAUCCUUACAAUAAACCUGUGAUGUAGGUAUUAUGAUGCCCACUUUGGAGAUGAGGUUAAUGAAGGUGAAGUGACUUGUCCGAGAAAGUCCCAAAAUUGGGAUUUGAAUCCUCUAACUCCAGAACCCAAGUCCUCAGCCCCUGUGGCAGUGAUUCUAAAGGGUCCACCCUCCACCCUUCACGCAGGCUGAGCUCCAUUUGUCCAUGUGUACAGCCUGCUGGGCCACAUGCACAGGUCUGCUGACUCUCCUCCAGCUGUAGCCUGGCUUCACACCUUCCUGGAUAAAUAAUGCCACAGCUGCAAAAACCUAACAGCCAAGUUCAGCUGUGGGUGGAAAGCACACUUUAGUGGCUGGAGCCCAGAGGUGGCUUCCAUUUGUCCCGAGUAUUUGAGGUGGCUGUGGGGAGCAUGGAAGAAGGCCAAAGCAGAAGGUGUUUGGUAAGGAAUGCUAUUAUUUCUCCUUCGAGAGAUUCAUUUGCUCAGGGAACAAUUCACGAUUAUUUGCAAUUGGCAUCUAGUUUCUAUGCAAAAGAGAGGCAGAAAACGGCAGAGUGGUCUCUGAAGCUAACAGUCCUGAUGCUCGUCUUGGCUCUCCUUCUCCCUAGUUGGGUCAACUUGGGCAAAUCACUUCACCUCUCUGAGACUCAGUUUCCUCGUGUGUUAAAUGGGUAUGCUACAGAACCACUUCAUAGAUCGAGCGAGAUGAUCCCUAAUAGAUCCUUAACACAGGGGCUCAGCAAGCGGGAGCUAUUAUUAAUAAAAUAGAUGCAC
Long non-coding RNA from Equus caballus (horse), 3591 nucleotides. Lineage: Eukaryota; Metazoa; Chordata; Mammalia; Perissodactyla; Equidae. The record is from Ensembl.